GGGGUAGUAGCUCAGUGGUAGAGCGCUCGCUUUGCACGUGACUUUUCACCUGUGUUUAGUUCAUGAAUGCGAGAGGUCCAGGGUUCAAUCCCCUGCUGCUCCA
This is a non-coding RNA of Aspergillus taichungensis, 103 nucleotides long. The record is from the annotation of a GenBank genome assembly. Lineage: Eukaryota; Fungi; Ascomycota; Eurotiomycetes; Eurotiales; Aspergillaceae.